Molecule: ribosomal RNA, 895 nt
Filed under: uncultured archaeon
Lineage: Archaea
Description: bacterial SSU rRNA
Rfam family: Archaeal small subunit ribosomal RNA
Source: RNAcentral
GGUUGAUCCUGCCGGACCUGACUGCUAUCGGAUUGAUACUAAGCCAUGCGAGUCAUUGUAGUAAUACAAGGCAGACGGCUCAGUAACGCGUAGUCAACCUAACCUAUGGACGGGAAUAACCUCGGGAAACUGAGUAUAAUGCCCGAUAGAACAUUAUGCCUGGAAUGGUUUAUGUUCCAAAUGAUUUAUCGCCGUAGGAUGGGACUGCGGCCUAUCAGUUUGUUGGUGAGGUAAUGGCCCACCAAGACUAUUACAGGUACGGGCUCUGAGAGGAGUAGCCCGGAGAUGGGUACUGAGACACGGACCCAGGCCCUAUGGGGCGCAGCAGGCGAGAAAACUUUGCAAUGUGCGAAAGCACGACAAGGUUAAUCCGAGUGGUUUCUGCUAAAGGAACCUUUUGUUAGUCCUAGAAACACUAACGAAUAAGGGGUGGGCAAGUUCUGGUGUCAGCCGCCGCGGUAAAACCAGCACCUCAAGUGGUCAGGAUGAUUAUUGGGCCUAAAGCAUCCGUAGCCGGCUCUGUAAGUUUUCGGUUAAAUCUGUACGCUCAACGUACAGGCUGCCGGAAAUACUGCAGAACUAGGGAGUGGGAGAGGUAGACGGUACUCGGUAGGAAGUGGUAAAAUGCUUUGAUCUAUCGAUGACCACCUGUGGCGAAGGCGGUCUACCAGAACACGUCCGACGGUGAGGGAUGAAAGCUGGGGGAGCAAACCGGAUUAGAUACCCGGGUAGUCCCAGCUGUAAACUAUGCAAACUCAGUGAUGCAUUGGCUUGUGGCCAAUGCAGUGCUGCAGGGAAGCCGUUAAGUUUGCCGCCUGGGAAGUACGUACGCAAGUAUGAAACUUAAAGGAAUUGGCGGGGGAGCACCACAAGGGGUGAAGCCUGCGGUUCAAUU